Molecule: ribosomal RNA, 254 nt
Filed under: uncultured bacterium
Lineage: Bacteria
Description: partial 16S ribosomal RNA
Rfam family: Bacterial small subunit ribosomal RNA
Source: RNAcentral
UACGAGAGGAGCGAGCAUUAUUCGGAAUAAUUUGGCGUAAAGGGUUUGUAGGUUGUUUUUUAAGUUGAAAAAUAAAUAAUAAAGCUUAACUUUAUUUCUUUUUUCAAUACUAAAAAACUAGAGUAAAAAUAGAGGAUAAUGGAAUUUCUAUUGUAGGGAUAAAAUCUGUUGAUAAUAGAAGGAAGAUCAAAGACGAAAGUAAUUAUCUGGGUAUUUACUGACACUGAGAAACGAAAGCUUGGGUAUCGAACGGG